Molecule: long non-coding RNA, 269 nt
Filed under: Actinidia chinensis (golden kiwifruit)
Lineage: Eukaryota; Viridiplantae; Streptophyta; Magnoliopsida; Ericales; Actinidiaceae
Description: long non-coding RNA (ACHI_LNC001574)
Source: RNAcentral
AAUAAGUCCAACUUAUGCUGUGUUUGGAUUAAAAAUUUGGUUGGAUGAAAAUGAAAUCGAAAUUAAAAAGUUAAAAGUUCCAACAAUUUAGGAUCACAAAUUUUCUAAUUUUUUCCUUUUAUUUUCAUUUUCUCUUCUCAAAUUCCCAAUCCAAACACUGCCUUAGUAACCAAACCCCUCACUAAGAGAAACUUAAACCUUCCAUUAGAGAACAGAACAAAAUUAUACUACAAGUUAUACAUACACAUAUAGCUACUUCAGUUCUUGAA